GCAAGGAUAAUUGAUCGUCGAACUCACAUGUAGUAUUUGACAUGAAGCAAACCGCCUCCAAGGGUUCUACUCUGUCCAAGAGAUCAUCACCGCAAAUCGCAUACCACAAUAGCAUAAUCCAUUCAUAUUCGAACUCAAGUUAGAACUCUGACCUGGCAUUGCGAUGUUCUAGAGGAGGAUUUGUUGAUUGCGAAAAGAUUUGCUGCAAACCCUGGGAGAAAGAUUUGGGGCAACAUGGUGAAGUCAACACAGGGCCAUUCAAAACUACCAGCCCCUUUGUACCACAAUCGUAUUCCAUGAAAUGAUCAUUUUGCUCUUCACUUAAUCGUUGAAUCAGCACAUGAUAUCACAUGCAACAGCUUCCAUCAAAGAAAUAGACAUCGUUGUUAAAAACAGAGUCAAAUACAGUAAUUUCAUGGCCAUUGGGAUUCUAGUGUAAUUUUUUCCAAGUACAGAAACAUCGAUGCUAAAUGGUCCAAAUUAUAAGAGGAAAUAUGUAAGUAGCUCUAAUCCCAAAGAUUGUUACUACGUAAAGGAGCAUAAACAAAGAAAACUUUAUGAGAAUUAAUGAUAUCUGAUUUGAGUUCUCUCACAUAAACAAAGUUAAAUGGAUAUUGCUUUAUUUACUAAAACCUCCUCUCAUGAAUGUACUCAAAGAUCAAGUUGAAGGGAUCACCUUCUCUAUUCUCUCUCAGCUUUAGAAUGGUCCAUGAUUGUGUUUCCGUUGCAUGAGGAGCACUGAUCACUAAGUGCAUGUCAUUAGCUCACUGAUUGAGAUCCAAACCUGCCUC
Molecule: long non-coding RNA, 791 nt
Filed under: Musa acuminata (dwarf banana)
Lineage: Eukaryota; Viridiplantae; Streptophyta; Magnoliopsida; Zingiberales; Musaceae
Description: long non-coding RNA (MACU_LNC003260)
Source: RNAcentral